UACGUAGGCGGAAUAUUAAGUCAGUGGUGAAAUCCUGCAGCUUAACUGUAGAAUUGCCAUUGAUACUGAUCUUCUUGAAUUUAGUUGAGGUGGGCGGAAUGUGUAAUGUAGCGGUGAAAUGCUUAGAUAUUACACAGAACACCGAUUGCGAAGGCAGCUCACUAAACUAACAUUGACGCUAAGGUACGAAAGCGUGGGGAGCGAACAGGAUUAGAUACCCUGGUAGUCC
Molecule: ribosomal RNA, 229 nt
Filed under: uncultured bacterium
Lineage: Bacteria
Description: partial 16S ribosomal RNA
Rfam family: Bacterial small subunit ribosomal RNA
Source: RNAcentral